RNAcentral lists this long non-coding RNA (870 nucleotides) under Equus caballus (horse). RNAcentral describes it as "lncRNA (ENSECAG00000049920.1)". The record is from RNAcentral. Lineage: Eukaryota; Metazoa; Chordata; Mammalia; Perissodactyla; Equidae.
GCCAGGUAUUCUGUUACUAAAUCGCAGGUUCUUCCCACAACAGCAUCAUGUUCUGAAUUACUUGAGAAAUAUCUAUCUUACUGUACGAUGCUGCAUAUCUCUACAGCUGCCAUUGCAGGAAAGAAGAGCAUAAAGAGGUGCUGCUGAACCCAUGGAGGACCAGAAGAAGCUCAAAGGCUACGUUAGCAUUAUUAUGAAGAAACAGUAUGAGUCUCACUUCCCACAGUGCAGUUUUUGCACUGCCUCUCCAAAAUGGAAGCUAUUACAUUUGCUUGAACUAGUAUAACCAAGUGGAAAGACCUGCAAGAUUGCAGUCGUCUCAGCUGAUGGGAACCGAGGGGAGGUCAGAGGGAGGAAGGAGACUAAGGCUGGGGUGCUUAUUCCCUGGGCUCCCUCCCUGUGGAGUCACUUCAAGCUUCUGUGUCCCUCAACUGAAGAUCACUGCUCUUCUCAUGACAGUACAUGACUCUCUGCCUCAGCGUUCCCGGAACCCUGGAUGAAGCCCCCACCACUUUAUCCCUUCACACCAGGAGCAGUAACAGCUACAUUGUUACUAGUUCCAAGGUACUCACUAUCUGAUGUAAUUUCUCUCUAUCCUUGUAAAUAGUCCCUGUAUUAAAUCCCCCAUAAAUUAACCUAAUUUGAAUGUAUCAUUUGAUUCCUACUGGAACCUUAAACUAUUCCAGUCUGACUCCAAAAAUCACUCUUUCAACCACUGUGUUCAACUACCUCCUAAAUUAUUUGAGAGGCUCAGGUUUUCACUCUCUAGGAUAAAGGUAACUGGACACCAGUGUUACCUUUGAAUAGUUCUGAACUCUGUAAGGCUUCCUGGAAUCCAUCUCUGUUAGUUUUCUUAUGGCUUCCCUUUAC